This 801-nucleotide ribosomal RNA is filed under the name uncultured Pseudomonas sp. Its description in RNAcentral is "bacterial SSU rRNA". It matches the Rfam family "Bacterial small subunit ribosomal RNA", at positions 100 to 896 of the family's 1533-position model. Lineage: Bacteria; Pseudomonadati; Pseudomonadota; Gammaproteobacteria; Pseudomonadales; Pseudomonadaceae. The record is from RNAcentral.
GACGGGUGAGUAAUGCCUAGGAAUCUGCCUGGUAGUGGGGGACAACGUUUCGAAAGGAACGCUAAUACCGCAUACGUCCUACGGGGGGAAAGCAGGGGACCUUCGGGCCUUGCGCUAUCAGAUGAGCCUAGGUCGGAUUAGCUAGUUGGUGAGGUAAUGGCUCACCAAGGCUGCGAUCCGUAACUGGUCUGAGAGGAUGAUCAGUCACACUGGAACUGAGACACGGUCCAGACUCCUACGGGAGGCAGCAGUGGGGAAUAUUGGACAAUGGGCGAAAGCCUGAUCCAGCCAUGCCGCGUGUGUGAAGAAGGUCUUCGGAUUGUAAAGCACUUUAAGUUGGGAGGAAGGGCAGUAAGUUAAUACCUUGCUGUUUUGACGUUACCGACAGAAUAAGCACCGGCUAACUCCGUGCCAGCAGCCGCGGUAAUACGGAGGGUGCAAGCGUUAAUCGGAAUUACUGGGCGUAAAGCGCACGCAGGCGGUUUGUUAAGUCAGAUGUGAAAUCCCCGGGCUCAACCUGGGAACUGCAUCUGAUACUGGCGAGCUAGAGUAUGGCAGAGGGUGGUGGAAUUUCCUGUGUAGCGGUGAAAUGCGUAGAUAUAGGAAGGAACACCAGUGGCGAAGGCGGCUUUCUGGUCUAUCUCUGACGCUGAGGAGCGAAAGCUAGGGGAGCAAACGGGAUUAGAUACCCCGGUAGUCCUAGCCGUAAACGAUGGAUACUAGGUGUGGGAGGUAUCGACCCCUUCUGUGCCGCAGCUAACGCAUUAAGUAUCCCGCCUGGGGAGUACGGUCGCAAGGCUG